CGGAUAUUCAAACGCGCCAACUGUGUAUUGUCCCCUCUCUUCCAAUUCAACGCGGCAUCACUAAUGUGAGUCAUGUGACCAAUCUAUCAUUUUUGGAACCGACAGAGUAAAAAAUUGCCGAUCAUCCCGAUGGGCUAAUACACAAUCCUGAUCGAACAAUCGAUUCUCAUUUCAUUUCGAUUCCCAGCUGUGUAGUAGAUCCGAGUUUUUCUUUGUUUCUUCAUCGAUCGUAGGGUUAGGGUUUUAGGGUUCGAAGAGCAUCGGAAAAUGGCCUUCGUUGCCCGCCGGCCGUGAAUUACUCACCGCCUUCCCGUGAUCCAAUCUGACGU
Molecule: long non-coding RNA, 329 nt
Filed under: Actinidia chinensis (golden kiwifruit)
Lineage: Eukaryota; Viridiplantae; Streptophyta; Magnoliopsida; Ericales; Actinidiaceae
Description: long non-coding RNA (ACHI_LNC004981)
Source: RNAcentral